GACGAACGCUGGCGGCGUGCUUAACACAUGCAAGUCGAACGGAAAGGCCCUGCUUUUGUGGGGUGCUCGAGUGGCGAACGGGUGAGUAACACGUGAGUAACCUGCCCUUGACUUUGGGAUAACUUCAGGAAACUGGGGCUAAUACCGGAUAGGAGCUCCUGCUGCAUGGUGGGGGUUGGAAAGUUUCGGCGGUUGGGGAUGGACUCGCGGCUUAUCAGCUUGUUGGUGGGGUAGUGGCUUACCAAGGCUUUGACGGGUAGCCGGCCUGAGAGGGUGACCGGCCACAUGAGAACUGAGAUACGGCCAGGACUCCGACGGAAGACAGCAGACGGGUAUGUUGCACAAUGGGCGGAAGCCUAAUGCAGCAUCGCCGCUUGCGGAAUAAGUGCCUUCGGGUUGUAAUCCGCUGUCGCCUGUGACGAAGCGUGAGUGACGGUAAUGGGUAAAGAAGCACCGGCUAACUACGUG
This 468-nucleotide ribosomal RNA is filed under the name uncultured bacterium. Its description in RNAcentral is "partial 16S ribosomal RNA". It matches the Rfam family "Bacterial small subunit ribosomal RNA", at positions 28 to 507 of the family's 1533-position model. The record is from RNAcentral.